This 344-nucleotide long non-coding RNA is filed under the name Vitis vinifera (wine grape). Its description in RNAcentral is "long non-coding RNA (VVIN_LNC000074)". The record is from RNAcentral. Lineage: Eukaryota; Viridiplantae; Streptophyta; Magnoliopsida; Vitales; Vitaceae.
CACCACCACAAUACCAUCUUUUCUCACGGCGAUGCCGUCCGCCCACGGUAAGUCUCGCGGUAGCAGAACCAAUCUGGCUGUUCCGUCCUCGGCGUCAACCUUGAACAUUUUUCCGGUGUUGCUCUGUACUGCAAGCAAGUAGCCCUUGCUGAUAUAAAGGAUGCCGUUGAGUCCGCAGAAGCUGUAGGGUGAACUGCGGUCCACGGGAUAUUCCGUAAAGACCGGAGAUCUGGAGAAGAUGGACGCCUCUCCUUUCGCGUUGACUUUCCAGAUGAAAUUGGCGGCCGCGUUGGUGACGUAGGCGUUGCCGGCGAAGUCCACAGUGACGUCGUUAGCUAUCUGCC